GCCCGAGUGGCGGAAUGGCAGACGCACCGCACUCAAAAUGCGGCGGGUAAAACCGUGUGGGUUCGAGUCCCACCUCGGGCAC
This 82-nucleotide transfer RNA is filed under the name Zhihengliuella salsuginis. RNAcentral's name for it is "tRNA-Leu". It matches the Rfam family "tRNA". Rfam says of the family: Transfer RNA (tRNA) molecules are approximately 80 nucleotides in length. Lineage: Bacteria; Bacillati; Actinomycetota; Actinomycetes; Micrococcales; Micrococcaceae. The record is from RNAcentral.